This 429-nucleotide ribosomal RNA is filed under the name uncultured bacterium. RNAcentral's name for it is "bacterial SSU rRNA". It matches the Rfam family "Bacterial small subunit ribosomal RNA", at positions 355 to 775 of the family's 1533-position model. The record is from RNAcentral.
UGGGGAAUAUUGGGCAAUGGGCGCAAGCCUGACCCAGCCACGCCGCGUGAGUGAUGAAGGCCUUCGGGUCGUAAAGCUCUGUGGAGAGGGACGAAUCAACCGCCGGCUAAUAUCCGGCGGUCCUGACGGUACCUUUUUAGCAAGCACCGGCUAACUCCGUGCCAGCAGCCGCGGUAAUACGGAGGGUGCAAACGUUGCUCGGAAUUAUUGGGCGUAAAGCGCACGUAGGCGGUCCGGCAUGUCGGGUGUGAAAGCCCUCGGCUUAACCGAGGAAGUGCAUUCGAAACUAUCGGACUUGAAUACUGAAGAGGGUCUCGGAAUUCCCGGUGUAGAGGUGAAAUUCGUAGAUAUCGGGAGGAACACCAGUGGCGAAGGCGGAGACCUGGGCAGAUAUUGACGCUGAGGUGCGAAAGCGUGGGGAGCAAACAG